RNAcentral lists this long non-coding RNA (1686 nucleotides) under Parus major (Great Tit). RNAcentral's name for it is "lncRNA (ENSPMJG00000006203.1)". Lineage: Eukaryota; Metazoa; Chordata; Aves; Passeriformes; Paridae. The record is from RNAcentral.
GGGCAGAUUUGGGGCACAGGGGGCUGGAUUUGGGGCACAGGGGGACAGAUUUGGGGGCACAGAUGAGAUGGAUUUGCGGGGCACAUGUGGGAUAGAUUUGGGGGGCACAGGGGGAUGGAUUUGGGGGGCACAGGAGGGCGGAUUUGGGGGGCACAGGAGGGCAGAUUGCGGGCAGGUGACCAUGGGGGGCUCUGUCACAGAGGAUUUGGGGGCCGAGGGUGACACCUGAGGACGCAGCGGGGCUGGCAGGGCAGACCUGGGGACACGGGCGCUGCCUCGGGGGUGACAUCGGUGACAUCACGGGGACACGGCCGAGGGGCAGGACCUGAGCUCGGCGUUCCCCCUGCGGGGCUGGGGACACCUGCCAGGUGCGGUGGCACCCGCGGUGACACAGGUGAGGGCUCGGGCAGGUGCCCGGGCUCACCGAGCCCGGAAUUCCCGGGAUUUUGGUUCUCCCGGGAUUUUUUUAUCCCGACGAGGCGCUCCCGUCCCGGUUGGGACAGCGGGGUGGCAGCCGGGGACAGGGACAGGCCACGCAGCCCUGGUGGCUUCCGGAGAGCUCCGGGUGUCGCCACCUGGGUGAGGGCUCGGGAACAAGGAGGUGGCACCGGGGACCCUCCUGGGGACAUCCCGGUGGCUGGCACAGGGCAGGGGACAUCUCGGGGACAUGCUGGGCAAAGGGUAGGGGACACCCUGGGGACAUCCCAGUGUCCUGGCACAGGACAGGUGACACCCCGGGGCCACCCCAGGGCCACCCCGGUGUCCUGGCACAGGACAGGUGACAUCCUGGGGACAUCCCAGUGCCCUGGCACAGGACAGGUGACAUCCUGGGGACACCCUGGGGACACCCUGGGGACAUCCUGGAGAGGUCCCAGUGUCCUGGCACAGGGCAGGUGACAUCCUGGGGACAUCCCAGUGCCCUGACACAGGACAGGUGACAUCCUGGGGCCACCCCGGUGCCCUGGCACAGGACAGGUGACAUUCUGGGGACAUCCCAGUGUCCUGGCACAGGACAGGUGACAUCCCAGGGAGGUCCCGGUGUCCUGGCACAGGACAGGUGACAUCCUGAGGAGAUCCCAGUGCCCUGGCACUGGACAGGUGACAUCCUGGGGCCACCCCGGUGCCCUGGCACAGGACAGGUGACAUUCUGGGGACAUCCCAGUGCCCUGACACAGGACAGGUGACACCCUGGGGCCACCCCAGUGCCACCCCGGUGUCCCGGCGGAGCUCCGGGCCCUUUUCCCUGGCAAGCUCGGAAAGGUUCGGAGACGGUCGAGGGUCAGGACGAAUCUCCCUGUCCUCCCCUCUUAGCACCACAAGAAUUUUUUGUUUAAUGCCUCCCUGGGGGUCUCGGCUUUUGGGACCACCGAGCCCUCCCCUCCCGGUCACCCCAGGGGACACGGAGGUGACACCGGGGACGCCGCUGCCUUCCCCCCUAAAACCCACCGGGCUCCGGCGUCCCCGCGGCCACCGCCAGCCCCAAAUUGGGGACACGACCCUCGGGGACCUCCCUGCUGAGUGCCUGGAAGACUCGGUGUGUCCCAAAACCCAAAUUUGGGGUUGGUUUAUUUUUAUUUUUAUAUUUUUUCUGUGUGUGUUAAUUUUUUUUUUUGUAAAUCUCUGAAUUUUAACAAAUCCAGAGCAUCUAAAAGGAGGUUUUUUUUUGAGGUGGGGGAGGGUUUUUAU